AUUGAACGCUGGCGGCAUGCUUUACACAUGCAAGUCGAACGGUAACAGCACUUCGGUGGCUGACGAGUGGCGGACGGGUGAGUAAUACAUCGGAACGUGCCUAGUAGUGGGGGUUAACUACUCGAAAGAGUAGCUAAUACCGCAUGAGAUCUAAGGAUGAAAGCAGGGGACCUUCGGGCCUUGCGCUACUAGAGCGGCUGAUGGCAGAUUAGGUAGUUGGUGGGAUAAAAGCUUACCAAGCCGACGAUCUGUAGCUGGUCUGAGAGGACGACCAGCCACACUGGAACUGAGACACGGCCCAGACUCCUACGGGAGGCAGCAGUGGGGAAUUUUGGACAAUGGGCGCAAGCCUGAUCCAGCAAUGCCGCGUGCAGGAUGAAGGCCUUCGGGUUGUAAACUGCUUUUGUACGGAACGAAAAGCCCUCUUCUAAUACAGGAGGGUCAUGACGGUACCGUAAGAAUAAGCACCGGCUAACUACGUG
This 482-nucleotide ribosomal RNA is filed under the name uncultured bacterium. RNAcentral describes it as "partial 16S ribosomal RNA". It matches the Rfam family "Bacterial small subunit ribosomal RNA", at positions 30 to 507 of the family's 1533-position model. The record is from RNAcentral.